Long non-coding RNA from Micropterus salmoides (largemouth bass), 1578 nucleotides. RefSeq lists it as uncharacterized. NCBI's taxonomy places the organism in Eukaryota, Metazoa, Chordata, Actinopteri, Centrarchiformes, Centrarchidae. The transcript is spliced from 3 exons. The record is from RefSeq and is a predicted model, not a curated record.
UAGAGAGAGGAUUUAACGUAAGUACUUACAUAAAUGCAUACGUACACACUUGAUGCUAUGGGAUGCAGUGAUUAACUACACACUAAAAACAUGAGACCUUUACUACUACUACUACUACUACUACUACUAGAGUAUGACAGGCUAGACACCACAACAACUAAAUUCUUAUCUAUUUCAAAAUGACAAUGACAUGAUAGGAGUUCUCCACGUUAACACAACUUUGGUUAUUUCAGACAGCAACUUCCCCUUUUCAUUUUAUUACCUUCAAGAGAACUCCACCUGUUACCCUCAUGCUAAUUUGUAAACACACAACACUCCCUUGCAAAAUAUCACCUUGACAAAGUCUGAAUGGUUGAGGGACAGAUGGGGUGGGUUUACAGUUACACAGCAUACAAUCUCUGCCCUUGAAGCAGAGGACUGAGUUUCACUUCCACUGCUCCACUCUCUCUCUCCAUUCACUAACUAUCAAGAGACAAAGCAUACCAGCACAGGCUGACACUGCACAGCCACACACACAGGCAGGUAGGUAGCUGUAGCUGGAUGAAUAUAGGGCAAAUGGUCAACUGUGUGUAACAUGGCAGGCGGUAGAGCACAGGACAGCAAAUUCUGCGCAGCACUAGACAGCAGGCUGUCGCAGAACAAGCUACAAGCCAGUGUAGCAACACCCACAUUUCACACGUCGUGUUUGAUAAUUCAUGAAGGCCACAGUGUCCGUACCGGCAUGCAACUGAUUUCUUUUCAACUGACCAUUUUAUAGCAGGCAAAGCCUUCAUGUAACGCUGAGCAGCUCGACUGUCAUGAGAACAAACAUCUGUUUGUGCAAGAAGCAACAAGCCCAAGAAUCAUCCCUGUGGUAUUACCCAUCUCUGGUGAAAUGGGGGAAUGGAGAAGCACAGGUAUGAGCACCAAUUCAUCACCAUCUGUCGACCAUCAGAGCUGUUAUGAUCUGUCGCUUGGAAAUGGAUGGCCCUCGCUGUGCGGUGCACAGGAGCUGUCCUGGCCAGGGCCACUACUCCUCAUUUCACCUGGUCAUCACACAUGAGCAUUCAGAUGAGCAGAGAAGGUUGACAGGUUGUUGAAUCCUCAGCAUUCUAGGUAAAUAAGUAACUGCAUUUGUUAUCGUAGCAGUAAGCAAUACAAUCAGCAUAAAGGGCUAUAUCAGGGGUUUCAAUCCCCCUUUUUUGGCCUGUGGCCCAGAUAAUCUCACAAUCCCAGCAGUUAGUCAGAUGUAAAAUUGUUGCAUAAAUCUGAUUAAGUUAUAAUUUACUAUUUCUGUUUUCAAGGGAUUUGAUAAAGCUUCAUACAGACAUUGAACAAAAUAUUUCAAACCUUCGUAGUGUUUUUAAAUUAAAAAUCUAGCAGAUAAGUCAGCGAAUCAACACGGAUCGCCUUAUCAUAAAAAGUUAUAAAAAAGGUUUCCCAUGAUCACACCUUAAUUGCUGCUUUAUUGUUUUUUGAUGCACCCAUACAUUUCAGAUGUUUCAUGCUUUUAUCUUGAUGCUUUUAAAUUUUGUCAGUUUUCAUACUCUUGAGCAGAACAAUAUUUUGUUUAAACUGUUUUUGUAAUAAAAAAUACAA